AAAUAUGCAAACAAAAUAGAAGAAACAAAUGUAUAUAGGAUAUUGAUAUUAUAUUAUAUAUUCCUAGGUUAGAUUCAUUAUCUAAUCCGAUAUAUGGAUAUAGAAUUCCCUUCUAUGUAGUUCGGACAAUUCACAUUUCAAUUUGAUUUCAAUUUGUACUUUUUAGUUACUUUACUUCUCCCCAAUAGAGCUUAGAAGUAAGAAUUUUUUGGUUGAUUGUAUCCUUAACCAUUUCUUUUUUUUUGACACGAGGAACUACUCACCAUGAAUCCACUAAUUGCUGCUGCUUCUGUUAUUGCUGCUGGAUUGGCCGUAGGGCUUGCUUCUAUUGGACCUGGAGUUGGUCAAGGUACUGCUGCAGGACAAGCUGUAGAAGGUAUUGCGAGACAGCCAGAAGCAGAAGGUAAAAUACGAGGUACUUUAUUGCUUAGUCUAGCUUUUAUGGAAGCUUUAACAAUUUAUGGACUAGUUGUGGCACUAGCGCUUUUAUUUGCGAACCCUUUUGUUUAAUCCUAAAAAAAAAAGUUCUUUCGAUUUCGAUUAGAUACUUUUUUCUUUUUUUAGUAAAUUGGUAUUUGCUUCCGCAAUUCCAAUUAUAUCAAUACUUUAUUUAAUUUACUCCUAUUUAUUACUCCUGGAAUUAUCUAUUUAUCGGGACAGAUAAUACCGCAUUCUAGGAAGGGCUGAGUUGAGUAUGAUUAAUUUAGAAGAUAUGCUCGCCUUCUUAUUUCCCGUCCUUAGUUUAGGAAAGUGGAAAGUUUUUUCCUUUUAUUUUAGGAAUUUUGGGAACGGAACAUUUCAACAAAGGAAGCCUUUCACCGGUCAAACAAGACCUAAGACUUAAUCUAAAAGAAAUUACUAGAUUGAAUCUAUUUGCAUUAAAAAAACCGAUCAAAAAAGGGCGAGCGAAGUAAGUGAUCGAAAAACUUUGUUCUUUGUUCGUCCUAUCUAUAAGAGGAGAGCAUAUGAAAAAUGUAACCCAUUCUUUCGUUUUUUUAGCUCACUGGCCAUCCGCUGGCAGUUUCGGGCUUAAUACCGAUAUUUUAGCAACAAAUCUAAUAAAUCUAACUGUAGUGGUUGGUGUUUUGAUUUUUUUUGGAAAGGGAGUGUGUGCGAGUUGUCUAUUUCAAGAAUAGAUUGGAUCUAUCCGGCUGCACUUUAGAAUAUUUUUUAGUAUUUUUCGGAUAAAUAAGAAAAGGGUGCACGAUCUCGACGAAUUACUUCUGAAUAAAUUCAGAAAUCAUAUGGAAGAACCAUAGCAUUUCGCGACUCAUUGGUAAAUCAAUUUUGAUUCUCUAUAAACCAAGAAUGUGAGACCAUUAACACGGUUAAAGCUAAACUGCUUGAAGUCCAGGCAAAAAGAGGUACUCUUUCUACAACUAUAUUAGUAUUAGUACCGAAUUUAAACGGGAAAUAGCUAAUGUAAAAUUUAUCUGAUAUAGAACACUCAUAUCGAUAAAAUGGUUUGAACUAUUUACUAGAAAAAAAAAGAAGGGGCACCCUGCCCUUUUUUAACCAAUGCCGAAUCGACGACCUAUGUAUAAAAAAGAGAAAUUUUUUGGAUUUGAAGAAAAAAAAAAAAGAAUUCUAUUAAUUUUCAUUUUCCAUUUAUUUAGUUAGUUUUUCUUAAUGAAAUUGAAAUUAUUAACUAAAGGGCAAAUAUAAAUAAAGAAACAACUUUGCUGACCAUGAUAUAUUUUUAUCUAGGCGGAAGAGUCCUCUUAAUAUUUAUCUAGUCUUAUAUAGGUUUCGGUAUAUUGAAAUAUAAACAUAAAAAAUAAGAUAGAGGAUAGGCUCAUUACUUAUACUUAAAAAAAGAUAUGGAAAUUGCUAUAGCAAAAAAAGAAAAAAAGGAGCGUGAGAGCCAAAUGAAUCGAAAGAUUCAUGUUUGGUUCGGGAAGAGAUCAUAAAAGUUGUAAACUUACAAAAUAAUCUACUUUCAUUAAAAGAUUUAUUAGAUAAUCGAAAACAGAGGAUCUUGAGUACUAUUCGAAAUUCAGAAGAAUUGCGUAGAGGGACCAUUGAGCAACUCGAAAAAGCUCGGAUUCGAUUACAGAAAGUCGAACUAGAAGCGGAUGAGUAUCGAAUGAAUGGAUACUCUGAGAUAGAACGAGAAAAAGCAAAUUUGAUUAAUGCUACUUCUAUUAGUUUGGAACAAUUAGAAAAGUCUAAAAACGAAACCCUUUAUUUUGAAAAACAAAGGGCAAUGAAUCAGGUCCGACAGCGGGUUUUCCAACAGGCCGUACAAGGAGCUCUAGGAACUCUGAAUAGUUGUUUGAAUACCGAGUUACAUUUCCGUACGAUUCGUGCUAAUAUUGGCAUUCUCGGGUCCCUGGAAUGGAAGAGAUAAUUAAAUUAAUUAGGCCUUGAACUUCUACUUUCGUUUAGAAUUUAGGCAUUAUUUUUCCCCUUGCUUUCGAAAAAAGAGUCAAGAAACACUAAUGGCAACCCUUCGAGUCGACGAAAUUCAUAAAAUUCUCCGCGAACGUAUUGAACAAUAUAAUAGGAAAGUAGGGAUUGAGAAUAUAGGUCGCGUAGUUCAAGUGGGGGAUGGGAUUGCUCGUAUUAUAGGUCUUGGUGAAAUAAUGUCGGGUGAAUUAGUCCAAUUUGCAGAAGGUACUAGGGGUAUUGCUCUGAAUUUGGAAUCCAAAAAUGUUGGGAUUGUAUUAAUGGGCGAUGGGUUGAUGAUACAAGAGGGCAGUUUUGUAAAAGCAACAGGAAGAAUUGCUCAGAUACCCGUGAGUGAGGCUUACUUGGGUCGUGUUGUAAAUGCUCUGGCUAAACCUAUUGAUGGGAAAGGCGAAAUUAUAGCUUCCGAAUCUCGCUUAAUUGAAUCUCCUGCUCCAAGUAUAAUUUCCAGGCGUUCCGUAUACGAACCUCUUCAAACAGGGCUUAUUGCUAUCGAUUCGAUGAUUCCUAUAGGGCGCGGUCAGCGAGAGUUAAUUAUUGGGGACAGACAGACUGGCAAAACAGCAGUAGCUACAGAUACAAUUCUCAAUCAAAAAGGGCAAGGUGUAAUAUGUGUUUAUGUAGCUAUCGGUCAAAGAGCAUCCUCCGUAGCUCAAGUAGUAACUACUUUCCAUGAGGAGGGGGCCAUGGAAUACACUAUUGUAGUAGCUGAAAUGGCGGAUUCACCUGCUACAUUACAAUACCUCGCUCCUUAUACGGGAGCAGCCCUGGCUGAGUAUUUUAUGUACCGCGAACGGCAUACUUUAAUAAUUUAUGAUGAUCUCUCCAAACAGGCACAAGCUUAUCGCCAAAUGUCCCUUCUAUUAAGAAGACCUCCCGGCCGUGAGGCUUAUCCAGGGGAUGUUUUUUAUUUGCAUUCACGCCUUUUAGAAAGAGCCGCUAAAUUAAAUUCUCUUUUAGGCGAAGGAAGUAUGACCGCUUUACCAUAGUUGAGACUCAAUCUGGAGACGUUUCCGCCUAUAUUCCUACUAAUGUAAUCUCCAUUACAGAUGGACAAAUAUUCUUAUCGGCGGAUCUAUUCAAUGCCGGAAUUCGACCCGCUAUUAAUGUGGGUAUUUCUGUUUCCAGAGUAGGAUCCGCGGCUCAAAUUAAAGCCAUGAAACAAGUAGCUGGCAAAUCAAAAUUGGAACUAGCUCAAUUCGCAGAGUUACAAGCCUUUGCACAAUUCGCCUCUGCUCUCGAUAAAACAAGUCAGAAUCAAUUGGCAAGGGGUCGACGAUUAAGGGAAUUGCUUAAACAAUCCCAGGCAAAUCCUCUCCCAGUGGAAGAGCAGAUAGCUACUAUUUAUACCGGAACAAGAGGAUAUCUUGAUUCGUUAGAAAUCGAACAGGUAAAUAAAUUUCUGGAUGAGUUACGUAAACACCUAAAAGAUACUAAACCUCAAUUCCAAGAAAUUAUAUCUUCUAGCAAGACAUUCACCGAGCAAGCGGAAAUCCUUUUGAAGGAAGCUAUUCAGGAACAGCUGGAACGGUUUUCCCUUCAGUAACAAAUAAAUUUGGCAUAUCUACUCUUGUUAUUUUGCAUGUCUACUCUUGUUAUUUGAAUCAUGCAAAAAAGUUUUCUUUGUUUUUAGUUUAGUAUAGUUAUUUAAAGAAUAGAUAGAAAUAAGAUUGCGUCCAAUAGGAUUUGAACCUAUACCAAAGGUUUAGAAGACCUCUGUCCUAUCCAUUAGACAAUGGACGCUUUUCUUUCGUAUUUUAUUCUUUCUUUUAUUCUUUCUUUUAUUUGUUGUCUUCUUCCGAGAAAAAAACUGUUAGACCAAAACUCUUUUAGGAAAUCAAAAAAUCAGAUACAAAUGGAUGAUGUAUAUCAUGCAUAUAUCAUUAAAGAAGGAGUAUGGGGCCGGUAGUGGGAAUCGAACCCGCAACCCCAAGGUUAUGAGACUUAUGAGCUACCAAACUGCUCUAUACUCUUAAACUAAAGAGGGGUAACUAGUGGAUAAAAGAGGGUUCGAUACGUCCCUCUACCAUAUCUAUACAAAUAGAAUAGUCCAUUUAUACAGAAUGGUAAAGAGGGCUCCUCUAUGAUUAUCAAUUCCAGAAAUCCAUACAAAUACGAAAGGGUAUUUUAUCCUUACCAACUGGAUCUUGUUGCACCCGGUAAUAAACAUUCAUAAACCAUUUCUCGAAGUACGUGUCCGGAUAGCCCAAAAUGUCGAUAGUUAGCUCUAGGUCUUCCGGUCAAAAAACAACGUCGAUGAAGGCGUGUAGGUGCACUAUUACGCGGUAGGGAUUGCAAUUUUUUCUCGCAUUUUCGUUUUUUUCACUCAAACUCAAGGGAGAAACUUUGCUUCUUAUCUUUUUUUUUAAAGAUUGACGAAUCAAAUGAUAUUUCUGUUCUAAUUUCUGCCGCUUCUUCUCCCUCUGAAUCAAACUCUUUUUUGCCAUAAUGUGCCGUUGCUAUUAUUAUCAAGUAUACGGUUCUAAUCCUAGAUGGAAAAAUAAAUAGAAAAAGAAAUUUAAGAAGGCGGAUCCUCCCUCUCUAUCAAGAGUAAUGAACUAGGUGCUGAUACAGUACAAAAAAACAAACUAAAUUAACCAAACUUGCCUGAUGUUGAGGCAAUCAAGAAAGCUGCAUAAGUGAAUAUAUAACCCACGGAAAAGUGAGCUAAUCCAACCAAUCUUGCUUGCACAAUGGAAAGAGCCACAGGCUUAUCUCUCCAGCGAAUUAAAUUAGCUAAAGGUGUGCGUUCAUGAGCCCAUGCUAAAGUCUCAAUUAAUUCCUGCCAAUACCCCCGCCAAGAAAUUAAGAACAUAAAUCCAGUAGCCCAAACAAGAUGUCCAAAUAAGAACAUCCAAGCCCAUACCGAUAAACUAUUCAUCCCAAAAGGAUUAUAUCCAUUGAUAAGUUGUGAAGAGUUUAACCAUAGGUAAUCUCUUAACCAUCCCAUCAAAUAAGUGGAGGAUUCAUUAAAUUGUGAAACGUUGCCCUGCCAUAAUGUGAUAUGUUUCCAAUGCCAAUAAAAAGUAACCCACCCAAUGGUAUUUAACAUCCAGAAAACUGCCAAAUAAAAUGCGUCCCAAGCAGAAAUAUCACAAGUACCGCCGCGCCCUGGGCCGUCACAAGGAAAACUAUACCCAAAAUCCUUUUUAUCCGGCAUUAAUUUGGAACCGCGUGCGUCUAAAGCGCCCUUUACUAAAAUCAAUGUAGUUGUAUGCAAACCUAGAGCAAUAGCAUGAUGAACCAAGAAAUCCCCAGGUCCUAUUGUUAAGAAAAGCGAAUUACUAUUCUCAUUAACAGCAUUCAACCAUCCGGGCAACCAUAGGCUUCGACCCGCAUUGAAAGCGGGGCCAUUCGUUGAAGAUAAGAGUAUAUCGAACCCAUAUGUCGUCUUGCCAUGAGCAGAUUGUAUCCAUUGGGCAAAUAUAGGUUCGAUCAAGAUUUGCUUUUCUGGAGUACCAAAAGCAAGCAUGACGUCGUUAUGAACAUAAAGGCCCAAGGUAUGGAAUCCUAGAAAGAGGCUAGCCCAACUUAAAUGAGAUAUGAUAGCUUCUUUAUGGUCUAACAUUCUUGCCAAUACAUUAUCCUCAUUCUGUUCCGGAUUGUAAUCCCUAAUG
Hordeum vulgare subsp. vulgare (domesticated barley) is the source of this 6026-nucleotide RNA transcript. It is a transcript of the gene named ATP synthase subunit alpha, chloroplastic-like, with no coding region annotated. The record is from RefSeq and is a predicted model, not a curated record. NCBI's taxonomy places the organism in Eukaryota, Viridiplantae, Streptophyta, Magnoliopsida, Poales, Poaceae. The transcript has a single exon.